UGGGGCCUACGGGGCGCAGCAGUGGGGAAUAUUGCACAAUGGGGGAAACCCUGAUGCAGCGACGCCGCGUGAGCGAAGAAGUAUUUCGGUAUGUAAAGCUCUAUCAGCAGGGAAGAAAAAAAUGACGGUACCUGAGUAAGAAGCACCGGCUAAAUACGUGCCAGCAGCCGCGGUAAUACGUAUGGAGCAAGCGUUAUCCGGAUUUACUGGGCGUAAAGGGAGCGUAGGCGGCCUG
This 235-nucleotide ribosomal RNA is filed under the name uncultured bacterium. Its description in RNAcentral is "partial 16S ribosomal RNA". It matches the Rfam family "Bacterial small subunit ribosomal RNA", at positions 333 to 582 of the family's 1533-position model. The record is from RNAcentral.